This 770-nucleotide ribosomal RNA is filed under the name Lactobacillus sp. 218. RNAcentral's name for it is "bacterial SSU rRNA". It matches the Rfam family "Bacterial small subunit ribosomal RNA", at positions 26 to 763 of the family's 1533-position model. The record is from RNAcentral. Lineage: Bacteria; Bacillati; Bacillota; Bacilli; Lactobacillales; Lactobacillaceae.
GGGGCAAUGCGGCGAUGCUAUACUGCAGGUCGAACGAGGUUUGGUCAGUUUGCGGUGGUGCUUGCAUCACCAAUUACCCUUUAACCGAGUGGCGGACGGGUGAGUAACACGUGGGUAACCUUUUCUUCAGCAGGGGAUAACAUUUGGAAACAGAUGCUAAUACCGUAUAACCACGGAGACCGCAUGGUCUCCGGGUAAAAGAUGGCGCAAGCUAUCACUGAAGGAUGGACCCGCGGCGUAUUACCCAGUUGGUGGGGUAACGGCCUACCAAAGCGAGGAUACGUAGCCGACCUGAGAGGGUAAUCGGCCACAUUGGGACUGACACACGGCCCAAACUCCUACGGGAGGCAGCAGUAGGGAAUCUUCCACAAUGGACGCAAGUCUGAUGGAACAACGCCGCGUGAGUGAAGAAGGCUUUCGGGUCGUAAAACUCUGUUAUUGAAGAACAACGUGUGUGACAGUCACUGGACAUGCAGUGACGGUAUUCAAUCACAAAAUCACGGCUAACUACUUGCCAUCAGCCGCAGUAAUACGUAUGUGGCAAGCGUUGUCCGGAUUUAUUGCGCGUACAGCGAGUGCAGGCGGUCUUUUCAGUCUGAUGUGAAAGCCUUCUUCUUAACCUAACAGCGGCAUCGAAAGCUGGAAGACUUGAGUGCAUAAGAAGACAGUGGAACUCGAUGUGUCUAGCAGAAAUGCGUAUAUAGAUGGAAGAACACCCUUGGCAAACGCAGCUCUCUGGUCUGACACUGAAGCUGACGUUCCCACUCGUG